AAUUGAAGAGUUUGAUCAUGGCUCAGAUUGAACGCUGGCGGCAGGCCUAACACAUGCAAGUCGAGCGGAAACGACUUAACUGAACCUUCGGGGAACGUUAAGGGCGUCGAGCGGCGGACGGGUGAGUAAUGCCUGGGAAUAUGCCUUAGUGUGGGGGAUAACUAUUGGAAACGAUAGCUAAUACCGCAUAAUGUCUUCGGACCAAAGAGGGGGACCUUCGGGCCUCUCGCGCUAAGAUUAGCCCAGGUGAGAUUAGCUAGUUGGUGAGGUAAGAGCUCACCAAGGCGACGAUCUCUAGCUGGUCUGAGAGGAUGAUCAGCCACACUGGAACUGAGACACGGUCCAGACUCCUACGGGAGGCAGCAGUGGGGAAUAUUGCACAAUGGGCGAAAGCCUGAUGCAGCCAUGCCGCGUGUAUGAAGAAGGCCUUCGGGUUGUAAAGUACUUUCAGUAGGGAGGAAGGUUCAUACGUUAAUAGCGUAUGGAUUUGACGUUACCUACAGAAGAAGCACCGGCUAACUCCGUGCCAGCAGCCGCGGUAAUACGGAGGGUGCGAGCGUUAAUCGGAAUUACUGGGCGUAAAGCGCAUGCAGGUGGUUCAUUAAGUCAGAUGUGAAAGCCCGGGGCUCAACCUCGGAACCGCAUUUGAAACUGGUGAACUAGAGUGCUGUAGAGGGGGGUAGAAUUUCAGGUGUAGCGGUGAAAUGCGUAGAGAUCUGAAGGAAUACCAGUGGCGAAGGCGGCCCCCUGGACAGACACUGAC
This 763-nucleotide ribosomal RNA is filed under the name Aliivibrio fischeri SR5. RNAcentral's name for it is "bacterial SSU rRNA". It matches the Rfam family "Bacterial small subunit ribosomal RNA", at positions 1 to 744 of the family's 1533-position model. Lineage: Bacteria; Pseudomonadati; Pseudomonadota; Gammaproteobacteria; Vibrionales; Vibrionaceae. The record is from RNAcentral.